This 503-nucleotide ribosomal RNA is filed under the name Pseudomonas sp. RNAcentral describes it as "bacterial SSU rRNA". It matches the Rfam family "Bacterial small subunit ribosomal RNA", at positions 67 to 565 of the family's 1533-position model. The record is from RNAcentral. Lineage: Bacteria; Pseudomonadati; Pseudomonadota; Gammaproteobacteria; Pseudomonadales; Pseudomonadaceae.
CGGAUGACAGGAGCUUGCUCCUGGAUUCAGCGGCGGACGGGUGAGUAAUGCCUAGGAAUCUGCCUGGUAGUGGGGGACAACGUUUCGAAAGGAACGCUAAUACCGCAUACGUCCUACGGGAGAAAGCAGGGGACCUUCGGGCCUUGCGCUAUCAGAUGAGCCUAGGUCGGAUUAGCUUGUUGGUGAGGUAAUGGCUCACCAAGGCGACGAUCCGUAACUGGUCUGAGAGGAUGAUCAGUCACACUGGAACUGAGACACGGUCCAGACUCCUACGGGAGGCAGCAGUGGGGAAUAUUGGACAAUGGGCGAAAGCCUGAUCCAGCCAUGCCGCGUGUGUGAAGAAGGUCUUCGGAUUGUAAAGCACUUUAAGUUGGGAGGAAGGGUUGUAGAUUAAUACUCUGCAAUUUUGACGUUACCGACAGAAUAAGCACCGGCUAACUCUGUGCCAGCAGCCGCGGUAAUACAGAGGGUGCAAGCGUUAAUCGGAAUUACUGGGCGUAAAG